AAUCUUGCUCAGAAGAGGAAUGCUCAAGAGGAGGAAUAGAAUGGAAAGAGGAAAGAAAAACUGGAGGACAUAGGUGAAAGAAGAGGCAGAUUUGAAAGGAAAAGAAGUUUCAUGAAAGACAACAUCCCUGGACACAAAAUACUUUUUGGAACUAAGAUCAUAUAGUUUAUAACCCUUUUUAGCAAAAGGAUACCCUAGGAAAACACAUGAAAUGGCCCUAGGCAUUAACUUGUCCCUUUGAGAAAUGGGGACAGUAGCAUAGGCAAGGUAGCCUAAAGCCUUUAGAUGAGAGUAAGUAGGUGCCUUACCAUGCAAGAUUUCAUAAGGGGACUUCCCAUGAAGGAGCCUGGAGGGUAUUCUGUUGAUAAGAUAAGUAGCAGUUAAUAGGCAGUCACCCCAGAAUGAAAUAGGUAAACCAGACUGGAAAAGUAAAGCCCUACAGGUUUCAAGAAAAGUUCUAUGUUUCCUCUCAACAACACCAUUCUGUUGGGGAGUAUGUGGGCAACUGGUUUGGUAUAUGAUGCCAUGUUGGUUAAAAAAGGAUGUACCAGCAAUGCUAGAUCCCAAUUCUAAAGCAUUGUCACUCCUAAUAGUUUGUACAGUAGCAUUAUACUUGGUCUUGACCAUACAGAGAAAAGAUUGAAGCAUGCAGAAAGCAUUGCUUUUAGAGCCUAACAGGUGUGUCUAGGUUGCUCUGGAAAAAAUCAUCAACUAUUGUGAGAAAAUAUCUAGAACCAGAAGAGGUGGGGGUAUGAUAAGGUCCCCUAGAAAAAUCAUCAAUUAUUAUAAGAAAAAUAUCUAGAGCCAGAAGAGGUGAGAGUGUGAUAAGGGCCCCAAGUAUCUACAUGAAUCAAUUGAAAAGGUCUAGAUGUACUAGUAGUGCUUUCAGGAAAGGGAAGCCUAGUUUGCCUGGCCAUAGGACAGGUAGAACAUUGAAAAGGCUGUUUAGAAGCAAAUGGAAAAGAUAAAACAGAAAUGUAUUUCAUGUUCACAAAAGGUAUAUGAACCAACCUUAAAUGCCAAAUGUAAUUCAUGUCUGUGGCAACAAUAUUAUUACACAUGGAACUGUUUACAUGCAAAGGCAAACUAACAGCCUGAUUACUAGAAUAGCCAGGUUUACAGGAAUUAGAAGAAGAAGAACAUACUGAAACAGAAGAACCACAAUUAGAAGAAGUUGAAGGUUGCACCCAAACAAGUUUGUACAGACCAUCCUCCUCUUUACCAAGAUCCAGAGGCAUCCUCAGAGAAGGGCUUGUAACAAGUGAAGUAAACAGGAAGUUGCAGUGAACAGUAUUAUGCAAUGCAACUGCUUCACUAACUUGUGGACAGAAAUCAAGUUAUGUUUGAAAGAAGGAACAAGUAGGACAUUAUGA
Molecule: long non-coding RNA, 1373 nt
Filed under: Nicotiana benthamiana
Lineage: Eukaryota; Viridiplantae; Streptophyta; Magnoliopsida; Solanales; Solanaceae
Description: long non-coding RNA (NBEN_LNC037032)
Source: RNAcentral